UACAGAGGGUGCAAGCGUUGUUCGGAAUUAUUGGGCGUAAAGGGCGUGUAGGCGGUCUGCUAAGUCAUGUGUGAAAUCCCUCGGCUUAACCGAGGAACGACGCAUGAAACUGGCAAGCUAGAGUACCAAAGAGGGGGUGGAAUUCCCGGUGUAGCGGUGAAAUGCGUAGAUAUCUGGAGGAACACCGGUGGCGAAGGCGACAUCCUGGACCGGUAUUGACGCUGAGGCGCGAAAGCCAGGGGAGCAAACGGG
This 252-nucleotide ribosomal RNA is filed under the name uncultured bacterium. RNAcentral describes it as "partial 16S ribosomal RNA". It matches the Rfam family "Bacterial small subunit ribosomal RNA", at positions 524 to 776 of the family's 1533-position model. The record is from RNAcentral.